GAUGAACGCUGGCGGCGUGCCUAAUACAUGCAAGUCGAGCGAACGGACGAGAAGCUUGCUUCUCUGAUGUUAGCGGCGGACGUGUGAGUAACACGUGUAUAACCUACCUAUAAGACUGGUAUAACUUCGGGAAACCGGAGCUAAUACCGGAUAAUAUUUUGAACCGCAUGGUUCAAAAGUGAAAGACGGUCUUGCUGUCACUUAUAGAUGGAUCCGCGCUGCAUUAGCUAGUUGGUAAGUUAACGGCUUACCAAGGCAGCGAUGCAUAGCCGACCUGAGAGGGUGAUAGGCCACACUGGAACUGAGACACGGUCCAGGCUACUACGGGAGGCAGCAGUAGGGAAUCUGCCGCAAUGGGCGAAAGCCUGACGGAGCAACGCCGCGUGAGUGAUGACGGUCUUCGGAUCGUAAAAAUCUGUUAUUAGGGAAGAACAUAUGUGUAAGUAACUGUGCACAUCUUGACGGUACCUAAUAAGAAAGCAACGGCUAACUACGUG
Molecule: ribosomal RNA, 497 nt
Filed under: uncultured bacterium
Lineage: Bacteria
Description: partial 16S ribosomal RNA
Rfam family: Bacterial small subunit ribosomal RNA
Source: RNAcentral